CAAUAGCAUAUAUUAACGUUGUUGCAGUUGAAAAGCUCGUAGUUGAACUUUUGGUAGGAGCGACCUGGCCUUGGGCGCAUGCCCUUGUUUGCCGUGUGUCGUAUCUGGCCAUCCUUUUCCGUUUCGGCGGGAAUCUUUUACUGUGAGUAAACUGGAGUGCUCAAAACAAGACGUUUGUUUGGUACAUUAAAGCAUGGAAUAAUAAGAUAGGACCUGGUUACUAUUUUGUUGGUUUGCAUAGCUAGGUAAUGAUUAACAGGGACAGUUGGGGGUAUUCGUAUUUAAUUGUCAGAGGUGAAAUUCUUGGAUUUAUGAAAGGCGAACGACUGCGAAAGCAUUUACCAAGGAUGUUUUCAUUAA
Molecule: ribosomal RNA, 360 nt
Filed under: uncultured eukaryote
Lineage: Eukaryota
Description: partial 18S ribosomal RNA
Rfam family: Eukaryotic small subunit ribosomal RNA
Source: RNAcentral